This is a long non-coding RNA of Mastomys coucha (southern multimammate mouse), 1216 nucleotides long. RefSeq lists it as uncharacterized. NCBI's taxonomy places the organism in Eukaryota, Metazoa, Chordata, Mammalia, Rodentia, Muridae. The record is from RefSeq and is a predicted model, not a curated record. The transcript is spliced from 2 exons.
GGAUUUCUUCCUGUUUUCCAUUACCCGUGAAGCAGAAGCCGAUUUUAUUGUGAGCGUGGAAAAGCAACGAAUUAUUUGCUCUUUAUCAUAUCCUUAUUAUUUCCUGGUGCACACAGAAAACCUGCUACCUCAUCUGUAGAUCACAAAAUCAAGGAAUUCAGGCCCAACCUAGCGCAUAUGCUUACUUUGAUCAUUAGCUUGUCCCAAACCUAUUCUUCCCACCUCUACAAUUACAUGAUCGUAAUGCACGAACGCUCACUGUAUUCCUUUCUCUAACUCAGCAGCUAUCAGGAAAGGGCACACUUUGUUCUUGAUUCUAAACUGAAAACUUUCUAUCAACUGCCUUAACUUCCUAACUUAGACUUUCUAUCAAUUACCCUAGCUCCCCAAAGAUUUUUAAAUCAAGCUAACUUCCCAAAACUACUUAAAUCAAUUCAGAAAUUCCAUAAGAUCAUUAGUUCAUCUAGACAUCUUUAUCUCAAGAACUUUCAUCUUUAUAUCGAUCUGCAAGAAACUUGUUCAGCAGAGUAGACUAUCACCCAGGAAAUAAUCAUACCAAGUUAUAGGCAGCGAGCGUCUCCCGGGUCCACUCACACUAACCCAAAUAAACGAGCAAUGACAAACCUGAGAAAGCACAGCAGUGCAAGGGACAAUCCUGGGACGGUCUCUGGGGUUGUACCACAUCGCAGAUGAGCAGGGCUCCAGGGAGCUCACUUGCCCAUCUUAGCUCUUCCUGCAUGGUGUCUGCCACCUGGCCUUCUUGUUUAUAAGAAGGGACCCUGACUCUGCCCAGCGGGGUUGCUUCUCAGAGCCCCUACUAUGCUCUUCUCUGCCUGUAGAAUUAAUAGCUCCUCAGUUAAACUUCUUAGCCCCAGCAACCUGCCUCAGUGUCCCCUUAAAUCCUAUACCCAAUCUCUAACUUUGUCUAAUACUGGCCUGGCCUGAAGUUCUUUUCUGUGGUGAAGUCAAAGAUCCAGCCUUACCUGGAUGGAGGUCUCGGAAAGGGAACUGUUGACUUGGCCGUGGUGGGUGUUUUUGCCCCUGUCUCUGCUGGAAAUAGACCCAGCAUUAAGAUAUUACACCGACUUUUAAAGUGGCUCUCAGGACUUCAACUCUUUCCUUGCCAUUGUUGUUCAGUUUGGUUCUUUUAAGACAGGUCACACGUAGCCUAGGCUAGUGCAACAUGAAUGAUCUUUAAAAUAAAUUAUUUUUUUCG